UGUGGGAGCGGGCUUGCUCGCGAAUGCGGUGGUUCAGUCAAACAUCUGUGACGGACACUGCAUUCGCGAGCAAGCCCGCUCCCACA
RNAcentral lists this unclassified non-coding RNA (86 nucleotides) under Pseudomonas antarctica. The record is from RNAcentral. Lineage: Bacteria; Pseudomonadati; Pseudomonadota; Gammaproteobacteria; Pseudomonadales; Pseudomonadaceae.